GGGAGGGAGAGAGACAAAGCUAGUCGACGGUUUGAACGAGACCCACUGACCUAUCGACCCGCGUACGCGAUUCUACCGUGGCGUCCCUCGUACCUUCCUUCAUUUUUUCUUUCGAUCGAAUAAUCGUAGGAUACAAAUCUUCAUCUUUAUCUUUAUCACGCACAACACAUCAUCAUUGUUCUAAGGUAAAACAACAACGGGACGCGUCGUUUUGUUGUUGCCCGUGCAAAUUGACGACAACAACACAACGAAAACGAAGAAAACGAAAACGACGAAGACGAAGACGAAGACGACGACGAAGAAGAAGAAAACGACGACGAAGAAAAAGAAAACGACGAAGACGACGACGACGACUAUGCGCUGCUGUUCUUGGUGCGCGAAUCAACGAGUCGUUCUUUGAACGAGACCCACUGACCGACCUAUCGACUCUCUCAUCUACUAACCGAGCACCGUUUUCCUUCUCUCUCCUCUUUCUCCCCUCUUCUUCUUUCUAUCCGUCCACCCGUUCAGAAACAACCCUCCACGUCGUCAUCAACGUCGUCAUCGGCCCGUCGUCGUGUUGGUUUAUCGUCCUCGUCACCAAAACGUUAUUCUUCUUUCCUUCCUUCUUUCCUUCUUUCCUCCCUCUUCCCUUUCCCUUCCCUUCCUAUUCCUUCUACCUUAAGUCACCCUUCACUUCUCUCUCUCUCUCUUUUCUAUCAUCUAACACGCUCGGUAUUCCUUUUGAUAUCGGAUGCGUCGAACCUUAAGAAGGAUCUCCAUUGAUCAGUUCUAUCUAAAAGGAACAACAACAAGAAGAGACAAAAAAAGGAUAUGAAAUAAAAACUGCCCAAGAAUAAUAAUAUUAAUCACUGGCAGAAUAUAAUAACUUGGUAAUUCUACUCUGUUAUCGAACGUAAUCGAUGUCACGUCAUUCGAGAUCGUUAGAUCACCGUGUUCAUUGGAACAACUCAAUGCCUUCUUAUGAUAAUUGGAAUUCAUUGAGAUCUUGUUAUUGUCAUAAUUACGUGUAUCGAGAACCGCGUGAAAUCAGUUGUCGCGGUAAAUCGAAAAUAAACAGGAGGAAUGUAAUAAUAAAAGAGAAAGUUGUAAAAGAAGAAGAAGAAGGUUUUAGCAUCGUAAGAAGAAAUAUAAGAAUAAUAACAAUAACAAUAAGUUCGCUAUUAGCGAAUACAAUAUUCCUGUUGGCAUGGCGUCGAAAAUUAGCAACGAGAAUUUCGUUGACUUUAUUGAACAACUGACGUUGUUGUCCUUUUCAUCGUCACAGUCAUCAUCAUCAUCAUCAUCAUCAUCAUCGUCAUCAUCAUCAUCAUCAUCAUCAUUAUCAUCGUCGUCGUUGUCGUCGUUGUUGUUGUUAUUAUCCUUCGCGAGAUCGACGACUCCUCCUUAUCGUCGUUGCGUUCAACGAUAGGUCGGUCGGUCGAGCAUGUCGAGUUACCAUCGUGUGCUGCCUCCUCUAUCGAUCGUUUGUUCGUUAAAUUAUUAAACACACGCAUGUACACUCAUACACACACACACACACACACACACACACACAUAGACACACAUAUUCGUCAUCGUUUACGAAGAAACAUAAGAGAAAAAGUCUGAUUUCGCAACAACAACAACAACAACAACUUCAACAACAACUGCAACAUCAACUACAACAACAUUAACAUCAAGAAUAAGAAGAAGAAGAAGAAGAGCAAUAGACACGACUUUAAUACCUAACCCCAAGUGAUAGGAAAUCCAAGAGCCAAAGGGUUACGGAACGUGUCAGACUGACAUCGAGACAUUAAGGGGAAACUGUCGUCGCGAAAAAAACUUUAAGUAUUCACGAACUAGCGCGCUAGCUAGCUAGGUCGACCCUGAAAACCAUCGUGCCGCUUUAAAAUCGUCGUUUAGUCGAAUACGAUCGGUGUGUGUACGAUUACGAUCCAUUUUUAUUCAAUUUUUUUUUUUUGGGGAGUCAGUCCCACGACAGAUACGAAUAAAAAUUUCCAAAGAAAGAACAUAAAACAACAACAAAAUAUGUAUCCCACGUUUAAGAGAUAUUACUUUCUAUUAAUCGAUUUUAAUUGAAUAGAAGAAGUAAAACAAAUAAAACAUAAGCAAAAGAAGAGGAAAAAAAUUCAAUUGAAGAAAAAGCAGAAGAAAAAAAAUUAAAAAUGGCAGAGAGCGCGGCUAGUCCAGGUAGCGUGCAAGUCGCUGCCAAUAGCCCGCAACAACAGCAACAACAACAGCAACAGCAAACCCAGCAACCACCGGAUAUAAGCAGUUCGCAGUUAGCCUCACCACCGAUCACGGGAACAGCCCAGAUCGAGAUAAUCCCGUGCAAGGUGUGCGGCGACAAGAGCAGCGGAGUUCAUUACGGUGUGAUCACCUGCGAGGGUUGCAAAGGUUUCUUCAGGCGGUCCCAAUCGUCUGUAGUCAACUACCAAUGUCCGCGGAACAAAAACUGCGUGGUCGACCGUGUAAACAGAAACCGGUGCCAGUAUUGUCGUUUGCAAAAGUGCCUACGCCUUGGCAUGUCCAGAGAUGCCGUUAAAUUCGGGCGUAUGUCAAAGAAACAGAGGGAAAAGGUCGAGGAUGAGGUCAGGUUUCAUAGGGCACAAAUGAGAGCGGCCUCUGAAACGGCUCCCGAUAGCAGUGUGUUCGAGCAUCAAACGCCCAGCAGUUCGGAUCAGCACCACCCUUACAACGGCGGGUACCCGUACGGUGGAAGCGAAUACGCAUCACCAGGACCCGGUACAGGUGGUUCAGGUUAUUACAAUCAUCAAGCGAUGACGAAUUACGAGCUGAGCGCCGAUUACGUCGACAGUACGACGACCUACGAUCCUAGGCCGACGCAGACGCAAGUGACGGACACCGUUGCACCAGACACACCCUCAGCAGUCACGGCAACUGGAGUAUUACCCAGUGUGGUCACCACCGAUCCGGCACAGAUAAGCGAGCUGCUCUCGAAGACGAUAGCGGACGCACACGCGAGAACGUGCCUGGUGUCGACGGAACAAAUACAGGAGUCAUUCCGGAAGCCUCACGACAUAUCCAGAUUGCUCUAUUACAAAAACAUGGCGCACGAGCAACUUUGGCUUGAAUGCGCGCAAAAGUUAACCACUGUUAUCCAGCAGAUCAUCGAGUUCGCUAAGAUGGUCCCUGGAUUUAUGAAGCUCUCCCAGGACGACCAGAUUGUUUUACUCAAGGCCGGUUCCUUCGAGUUGGCUGUGCUACGAAUGAGCAGGUACCUCGACCUCGCGCAAAAUUGCGUCCUGUACGGUGACACGAUGUUACCUCAAGAUGCAUUCUACACGACGGACACGGCGGAAAUGAAGUUGGUUUCCUGCGUGUUCGAACUUGCUAGAAGCGUUGCCGAAUUGAAGCUAACCGAAACGGAGUUGGCGCUUUACAGCGCGGCGGUAUUACUAAGUCCUGAUCGACCGGGACUGAAGGGAUUGGCGGAAAUAACGAGGCUUUAUCAAGCGGUGAUACGUGCACUGAGGUCGGAGUUGGACCGGAAUCACGUGUCACCGAUAAAAGGGGACGUAACCGUGUGCGAUGCGAUCCUCGCUAAGAUUCCCCAACUGCGUGAGAUCUCGCUCUUACACAUGGACGCCCUGGCAAAGUUCAAACGGUCGCAACCGCACCUCGAGUUUCCGGCCCUUCACAAAGAGCUUUUCAGCGUCGACAGCUGAACGAUCGACGCGACGCAGGGCGUCCCGACGCUGACAAACAAAGCGGAACGCGAAUAGCGCGGGGCCUUGCUCUGUCGAGAUAAUUUCCUUCGUAAAGAACGUAUUGGGCCUUAAAUAAACAUAAAAUUGUUAUAUAUAAAGUAUACAUAAA
This 3822-nucleotide unclassified non-coding RNA is filed under the name Polistes canadensis. RNAcentral describes it as "probable nuclear hormone receptor HR3, transcript variant X3". Lineage: Eukaryota; Metazoa; Arthropoda; Insecta; Hymenoptera; Vespidae. The record is from RNAcentral.